Molecule: long non-coding RNA, 378 nt
Organism: Photinus pyralis (common eastern firefly)
Lineage: Eukaryota; Metazoa; Arthropoda; Insecta; Coleoptera; Lampyridae
Exons: 3
Source: RefSeq, a predicted model, not a curated record
UAGCGGACGAAGAAAAUCUUCAAACUUCAAACAUUGCUUGUAACGCAACGAUCCCAAACCAUGAAUUCUAAAGUGUUUAUUUUUGCCAUUUUAGCAGCUGUAUUAUUUGUGUCCAUAUCUUCCGCGCCAAACGCCGUAGUGACAAUGGAUAAAGAUGGAAAAAUCGUAGUUGUUAUUCGCAAAACCCGUGGCGCCAUCGCUAAGUGCUUUGACAUUUCUCAUGGAUCGAUGGAAGAAAUUGGUCACGAUUGUCACUAAACCGAAGUUCGAAAGUUAACGUAAGCCGGAAGUUUUGUAAACCGACACUGAACAGUUGAAUACUUCAUUAAAAAUAUGAAACCACAUUAUUAUAAUCCAUAAUAAAACCUAGGGUACAAG